Molecule: long non-coding RNA, 280 nt
Filed under: Numida meleagris (helmeted guineafowl)
Lineage: Eukaryota; Metazoa; Chordata; Aves; Galliformes; Numididae
Description: lncRNA (ENSNMEG00000002601.1)
Source: RNAcentral
CUUCAUAAGCAGCACACCCAUUAUUGUAAUGACCAUGCUGAACAUACAUAAAGAUGCCGGAAUCUGCAGUAUUCAUCAGCUAACACUAGAUGUGGCUCACGUGCUUCAGAAACUAGUAAUGAUGUCUAAGAAUGUGUCCCUGAGAACUCCUGUCUUCAGUCAUCCAUCAGCAAGGGUGACAGAUGCACCAGUGAGGAGCUAUGUAGUGCUGUCAAUUUUACAGCACACCAAAGGGAAGACUGACUCCCCAAACACACCAUUCUGCUCACAUGUGCUCUGA